GCCGUACAUUGCAUGGAGGUACCCCAGCCUGAAGUCAGUAAAUGAGCUCAUCUACAAGCGAGGCUAUGGCAAAAUCAAUAAAAAGCGCAUUGCCUUGACAGAUAACUCCUUGAUUGCUCGAUCUCUUGGUAAAUUUGGCAUCAUCUGCAUGGAGGAUCUAAUUCAGGAGAUCUAUACAGCUGGGGAAUGGAAAGGAAGCAAAUAACUUCCCAUGGCCCUUCAAACUAUCUUCCCCACGAGGUGGAAUGAAGAACAAGACAACACACUUUGUAGAAGGUGGAGAUGCUGCCAUCAGGGAAGACCAGAUAGACAGGCUUGUUAGACGAUGAACUAAGGUGUCUCCCGUGGUAUUUUAUAAUCUGGUCAGUUAAUAAACAGUCACAGCUUGACAAAAA
Molecule: long non-coding RNA, 395 nt
Filed under: Rattus norvegicus (Norway rat)
Lineage: Eukaryota; Metazoa; Chordata; Mammalia; Rodentia; Muridae
Description: long non-coding RNA NONRATT019828
Source: RNAcentral